Molecule: long non-coding RNA, 612 nt
Filed under: Salmo salar (Atlantic salmon)
Lineage: Eukaryota; Metazoa; Chordata; Actinopteri; Salmoniformes; Salmonidae
Description: lncRNA (ENSSSAG00000084716.1)
Source: RNAcentral
CUCGCCUGAACCCGAUGAUCCUGUGUUUGCGUUUGAAUCCUGCAAGUAGCGUCAAUCAAGAUUUGAGAGUACUUUGAGGGUGACCUGAAAGAUCGCUGUGGCACCCGGGCCAGACAGAGAGCUGAGCUGUGGGGAGGGACAUCGUGUACCCUGAAAGCCAGCACACAGGCACUGGGCAGAAAACAGACAAGGAGGAGAGGAAGACUGCCUAACUGAGCCCCCAGAUGAUCAGUCUGGAGCUGAGGCCUGGUAACACGUGCACACACAGGCACAAAAUGUAAUUUCCCAUCCAUUGAUUGGUAACAUGUACGAUAUGUUUCAGGGAACCACAUACGUUUGAGGUUAAGGCGAAGCCCAAGAGAAACCCUGUGGAUGUUAACUACCUUACUUCGUCCACCUUAGUGGGGACAGUAAGCCUAUACAGCACAGCUAAACUUGGGGCAGCAGUGCUGAAUGCAGCAAAGGAUGUCAAUCCUGAGGCAAGAGGCAUAGGUUACGGGCGGUGUGACUGCAACCGCUGUGCUUGUGAGGAGGGGUUUAUGGGUUCUGAAUGCGAAUGCUCUUCAGAGGUGGACCGUUGCUGGGAUCUAAACGGAAACCAUGGAAACUGCC